AUUGAACGCUGGCGGCAUGCUUUACACAUGCAAGUCGAACGGCAGCACGGGUGCUUGCACCUGGUGGCGAGUGGCGGACGGGUGAGUAAUGCAUCGGAACGUGGUCCUGAAGUGGGGGAUAACGCAUCGAAAGAUGUGCUAAUACCGCAUAUUCUCGUGAGGAGGAAAGUAGGGGAUCGAAAGACCUUAUGCUUUUGGAGCGGCCGAUGUCUGAUUAGCUAGUUGGUAGGGUAAUGGCUUACCAAGGCGACGAUCAGUAGUUGGUCUGAGAGGACGGCCAGCCACACUGGGACUGAGACACGGCCCAGACUCCUACGGGAGGCAGCAGUGGGGAAUUUUGGACAAUGGGCGCAAGCCUGAUCCAGCAAUGCCGCGUGAGUGAAGAAGGCCUCGGUUGUAGGACGUCUUUCUACGUGUAGAAGAAAAGUACGUAGUACGUAA
Molecule: ribosomal RNA, 441 nt
Filed under: uncultured bacterium
Lineage: Bacteria
Description: bacterial SSU rRNA
Rfam family: Bacterial small subunit ribosomal RNA
Source: RNAcentral